UCCUAGAGGACAUUGGGUGGCAGCCUGGA
This 29-nucleotide non-coding RNA is filed under the name Rattus norvegicus (Norway rat). The record is from RNAcentral. Lineage: Eukaryota; Metazoa; Chordata; Mammalia; Rodentia; Muridae.